CCUACGGGUGGCUGCAGUGAGGAAUAUUGGUCAAUGGGCGAGAGCCUGAACCAGCCAAGUCGCGUGAAGGAAGAAGGUUCUAUGGAUUGUAAACUUCUUUUGUAAGGGAAUAAAAAGAGUUACGUGUAACUUAUUGUAUGUACUUUACGAAUAAGGAUCGGCUAACUCCGUGCCAGCAGCCGCGGUAAUACGGAGGAUCCAAGCGUUAUCCGGAUUUAUUGGGUUUAAAGGGUGCGUAGGCGGGCCCUUAAGUCAGUGGUGAAAGUUUGCAGCUU
RNAcentral lists this ribosomal RNA (275 nucleotides) under uncultured Paludibacter sp. Its description in RNAcentral is "partial 16S ribosomal RNA". It matches the Rfam family "Bacterial small subunit ribosomal RNA", at positions 338 to 610 of the family's 1533-position model. The record is from RNAcentral. Lineage: Bacteria; Pseudomonadati; Bacteroidota; Bacteroidia; Bacteroidales; Paludibacteraceae.